This 252-nucleotide ribosomal RNA is filed under the name uncultured bacterium. RNAcentral describes it as "partial 16S ribosomal RNA". It matches the Rfam family "Bacterial small subunit ribosomal RNA", at positions 524 to 776 of the family's 1533-position model. The record is from RNAcentral.
UACGUAGGGGGCAAGCGUUAUCCGGAUUUAUUGGGUUUAAAGGGUGCGUAGGCGGGCUUUUAAGUCAGCGGUAAAAAUUCGGGGCUCAACCCCGUCCGGCCGUUGAGACUGGGGGCCUUGAGUGGGCGAGAAGAAGGCGGAAUGCGUGGUGUAGCGGUGAAAUGCAUAGAUAUCACGCAGAACCCCGAUUGCGAAGGCAGCCUUCCGGCGCCCUACUGACGCUGAGGCACGAAAGUGCGGGGAUCGAACAGG